UCUCGUGUAGCCUCAGUGGUAGAGCGUUCCGACCGGUGUGCGGAAAGGUCAUAGGUUCGACUCCUGUUGGGGGAA
Molecule: transfer RNA, 75 nt
Filed under: Desmophyllum pertusum
Lineage: Eukaryota; Metazoa; Cnidaria; Anthozoa; Scleractinia; Caryophylliidae
Description: Lophelia pertusa tRNA
Rfam family: tRNA
About the family: Transfer RNA (tRNA) molecules are approximately 80 nucleotides in length. Their secondary structure includes four short double-helical elements and three loops (D, anti-codon, and T loops). Further hydrogen bonds mediate the characteristic L-shaped molecular structure. tRNAs have two regions of fundamental functional importance: the anti-codon, which is responsible for specific mRNA codon recognition, and the 3' end, to which the tRNAs corresponding amino acid is attached (by aminoacyl-tRNA synthetases). tRNAs cope with the degeneracy of the genetic code in two manners: having more than one tRNA (with a specific anti-codon) for a particular amino acid; and 'wobble' base-pairing, i.e. permitting non-standard base-pairing at the 3rd anti-codon position.
Source: Rfam by way of RNAcentral